Molecule: ribosomal RNA, 490 nt
Filed under: uncultured bacterium
Lineage: Bacteria
Description: partial 16S ribosomal RNA
Rfam family: Bacterial small subunit ribosomal RNA
Source: RNAcentral
AUUGAACGCUGGCGGCAGGCCUAACACAUGCAAGUCGAACGGUAACAGGAAGCAGCUUGCUGCUUCGCUGACGAGUGGCGGACGGGUGAGUAAUGUCUGGGAAGCUGCCUGAUGGAGGGGGAUAACUACUGGAAACGGUAGCUAAUACCGCAUAAUGUCGCAAGACCAAAGAGGGGGACCUUCGGGCCUCUUGCCAUCGGAUGUGCCCAGAUGGGAUUAGCUUGUUGGUGGGGUAACGGCUCACCAAGGCGACGAUCCCUAGCUGGUCUGAGAGGAUGACCAGCCACACUAGAACUGAAACACGGUCCAGACUCCUACGGGAGGCAGCAGUGGGGAAUAUUGCACAAUGGGCGCAAGCCUGAUGCAGCCAUGCCGCGUGUAUGGAGAAGGCCUUCGGGUUGUAAAGUACUUUCAGCGGGGAGGAAGGGAGUAAAGUUAAUACCUUUGCUCAUUGACGUUACCCGCAGAAGAAGCACCGGCUAACUCCGUG